Molecule: unclassified non-coding RNA, 304 nt
Filed under: Hevea brasiliensis (rubber tree)
Lineage: Eukaryota; Viridiplantae; Streptophyta; Magnoliopsida; Malpighiales; Euphorbiaceae
Source: RNAcentral
UUUUUAAUUAAGUCUGUUAAAAAAGGGCUAAAUGUGGAGAAAAAUAAUGUUUUAGGCCCUUUAGGGAACCAAUGUGAACAAUAAAUGUUUAUGGACUCAAUAACAAAAAACUGUUAAAAUUCAGUGGUCAAAAUAUGUCUUUUUGCCUUUUCUAAAUGGUUUAUUGAUAAUAUCAGUCGGUGUUUCUCAUUCCAAUACCAUGUUUGGUAACCAUCAUAAUUGCGCAUGGAAUUCAUUUUCUGUUAUCUGAGCACCAAGCCCCUGAAAAUGCAAGAAAUGUUUCAGGAAAAUAUUUGCAUUGGAA